AUGCAAAGAACUUUGAAAAGAGAGUUAAAGAGUACCUGAAAUUGCUGAAAGGGAAGCGAAGGAAACCAGUGCCGUAGUGUUGUCAUACUUCCCCUUCUGCUUGCGGAUGGGGCGCUGUGACAGUACRUGGAUCAGCAUCAACUUUACCUUGGACCAAAUGGGUGAUUGGUAGACAGCCCCUUUCGAGGGGCCAGUACUAGUCAUUUCUGGUCUGAGCGAGGUUGAGGUCAGUCAUUCUGUGCUCGUGAUGCUGAUGAAAUGGUUUUCUUUACCCCGUCUUGAAACACGGACCAAGGAGUCUAAGAUUUGUGCGAGUAAAAAGGUGGUAAACCUUUAUGCGUAAUGAAAGUAACAGUGGUUAGAAGUCGWUAAGACAUGCAUAAUCCGCCGGCUUCAAUCUUACGAGAGAAAGGUCUGAGUGUGAGCGCAAAUCUUGGGACCCGAAAGAUGGUGAACUAUGCUUGAGUAGGGUGAAGCAAUGGGAAACUUUUGUGGAAGCUCGUAGAGAUUCUGACGUGCAAAUCGAUCUUCAAACUUGAGUAUAGGGGCGAAAGACUAAUCGAACCAUCUAGUAGCUGGUUCCCUUCGAAAUUUCCCUCAGGAUAGCUGCGAUCGAAACAUUUAUAUCA
This 629-nucleotide ribosomal RNA is filed under the name Heterokontophyta sp. 1 SEH-2013. RNAcentral describes it as "eukaryotic LSU rRNA". It matches the Rfam family "Eukaryotic large subunit ribosomal RNA", at positions 364 to 1006 of the family's 3401-position model. The record is from RNAcentral.